Bos taurus (domestic cattle) is the source of this 2166-nucleotide long non-coding RNA. Lineage: Eukaryota; Metazoa; Chordata; Mammalia; Artiodactyla; Bovidae. The record is from Ensembl.
GAACUGAAGUAUAUAGAUCGUGACUAACUCACCGCUGUGGGUCUCGCACGGCUGCCUCCUACCUAGAAGUGACAGCCUAGACUCUCGGCACAGGAGUUCUGGGUGCAAAAAUACUGUCACUAGACAUCCACCACUACCACUCCCAUCUGAAGCAUCUAAGAAACUAAACUAUGGCUUCUUUUCAUUUUCCUUCAGCGUGUUAUUAUUAACUCCUGGCGCCUCUAAUUGCUCACUGAAAACAGUGGUUUGGAUAUUAAUAGGCUGAAAAUCAAGAACCCUACCUGGGGCUCGUUGUCACGGAAACGGGCCAAGUUGUUGGAGAAAGAGAAACUGGUGAGGCGAGUGACUGUAGUAUGUAGCAGCUUGGAGGAGUGAAACUCUUUAGGAGUGGAAGGGUUCUGGGGGAGGCAGCCCCGGGACCAGAACACGCAUCCCGCUCACCGCCCUCCCAGCGCCCCCGGGCGAUGCUCCAGGAUCUGGAUCUCCAAAGCAAGCGCCCAGCUAGCUAAGCGCCUCCGAAACCCACGCGGAUUCCCGCGCCCCGGGGCGAUCUCUGCCGCAGCCGCCAGGGCCUCCCGCGGGCUCUACGCCCGGCACCCAGGGCUGGGCCCCCACCCGGUCCCCUGGGCGCCGUGCGUCACGCGCCCCCUGGGCCCAGCGCCUCCUCAGCGCUCGCGCCGCGCGCCCCAGCCUCGCGCAUCCGCACCCGCACCCAGCUUCCUCCGGCCGCGGGGCCCUCCCGGGACUCACCUGCGCUGGGGCUGUAGCGGCGGCCACCCCGAGCCCGGGGGCGGCAGUGGCGGCGGCGCAGGGGGAGGAGGGCAGCGCGGGGCUCCUGGCACAGCGGCCGCCGGGCGCCUGGUGCUGCCGAGCCGCGGACCCGCCCAGAGAUAUAAAUAACAUUAUCUGAGGAGGGACAUUCCUGCCGGGGGACAUCGCUGCUGCCGGGACCAGAUAGUCCCGCGGCGGGGGCGGAGAGGCGGGGCCGCAGCCUCCCGCAGCGCCAGGCCCAGCCCCCGCCUUCCCCACCCACUCCCGCACCUGCCAAUCAGCCUCCGAGCCCCGGGCCACCUGCCCGGCCUCCGCCCGGCUCCCCCGGCCAGCCUCCGCCUCCCGGAGGACCGCCCGAGUCCGAGCCACCCGAAGCCGGAGCGGUCCGCAGCGCCCCCAUCGCCGCUCACCUCCCCUCACCGCGCGCUACCCCGAGCCCCCUGCAGCGGGGAAAAGAUUUGGCUGCAGCUCCGGCCUAAUUCGUGCACCCAGAGCGGCAAGCCUGGCCAGGAAAAUGAGCCCUCCAACCUUUCCCACCCCGCGUCCCCACUGUAUACAGUCAGGCUUUUCAAAUAUGUUAAAAGACCCGCUGAGGCCGUAGGUUAGGAGAGGCGGGCGCCCGGGCAGCGCGCCCUCGCUGCGGCGUGUUUGGGAGAGACAGAUUGUUCCCGGGGGCUGGUGUGUUAGAAAGCGCACUGUGGGGCAGGCUUCUCGGGGCUGGCAGUAAGAGCAGACGCUGGGAGGGCUGGCGUGGGCACUGGGCGGGAGACCCUCGCCCUCAGCCCGAGAGCUCGGUGUCUCUGUUUGCAAACCUGGUGUGGUCUGGGCGGACCCCGCAAAGCCGGAGGGGCACAGCGCGAAGUCCCACGGCUUGCAUGUUACAGGGACUGUAAUCAACAGGCAAGCUGCCACCCCAGCCCACCGACAUCUCCUGGCCGGCCCUGGUUUCCAGGGAGCCGAGGCUUCCUCGCCGCAAGCCUGGGUGGGGUGGGAUGCUGUAGGCCCGAGAAAACACUAGAAACGCUGGUGCCAAAGAGGAAAGACAACAGCACCUCCGCUCACCUCGGGAGAGACACAGAAGUGGCAGCUUGAAAAGCUGUCCACUUUUUUGACUUUCUUACUAUACAAGGUCAUUGUUCAGUAAGCCUUGGUGAUACACCUUGCCGCAGUUUUCAUCUCUUUUCUCCAUCAGCCGUGCUGGGACGGUUUCUACCCAGACAACAACCCAGGGAAUCUCAGGUGUUUUGGAGAUGGCAGUGGCGAUGUGAAGUGCAAAGAUGUAGAAAAGAGUUUUAACUUUGAUGAUGCCUGGUGUUCUUCACAACGGAACAGUCUUGCUCCUGAGUUAUUUGCUUGGGAGUAUAAUUAUGCUGUUUUCCAGGAUUCACCAGGAAA